GAUCGGACCGGGGUCUGACCGAGAUCUCACCGGGAUCUCACCGGGAUCUCACUGGGAUCUGACCGAGAUCUCACCGGGAUAACGCCGGGAAAUCACCGGGAACAGGAUCAGACCGGGAUCCAGGACGGACGGGACCCCGGGGUCUGACCGGGAUACCGGGAUCGGGUCACCGGCAUCAGGAGCUGACCGGGAUAACCCCGGGAUAACGCCGGGAUAACACCGGGAUAACGCCGGGAUAACACCGGGAUAACGCCGGGAUAACCCCGGGAUAACACCGGGAUAACACCGGGAUAACACCGGGAUCACACCGGGAUAACACCGGGAUAACACCGGGAUAACACCGGCAACAGGAUCGGACCAGGAACGGGACACCGGGAAUGGGACCUGACCGGGAUCCAGAACGGAACCGGGACACCGGGAACGGGAUCCAACCGGGAUCCAACCGGGAACGGACUGGGAUUGGGACAGCGGGAACGGAACGGGAUCAGCAAUGGAACGGGAUUGGGAUUGGGAACGGGAUUGGGAUGGGAUUGGGACACCGGGAACAGACUGGGAUUGGGAUUGGGAAUGGGAAUGGGAUUGGGAUGGGAUUGGGACACCGGGAAUGGCCAUUGGGGACCGGGACAUUGGGAUCAGAACGGGACCGGGACACCGGGAAUGGGACGGGAUUGGGAUGCUGGGAAUGGACUGGGAACGGGAAUGGAACGGGAAUGGGAACGGGAACGGGAACAGGGCAGGAACGGGAAUGGGAAUGGACCGGGAUUGGAUCGGGAUUGGGAUUGGAUUGGGAUCAGGAACAGGAACGGGAACGGGAUUGGAUUGGGAUUGGGAUUGGGAACAGGGCAGGAAUGGGAUUGGGAACGGACCGGGAUUGGAUUGGGAUUGGGAGCAGGAAUGGCCCAGGAAUGGGAAUGGGAACAGACUGGGAUCCCGGGAAUGGGAUUGGGAUCAGGAAUGGGAUCCCGGGAAUGGAGCAGGAACGGGAUUGGGAACGGGAUCAGGAACGGGAUCAAAGCGGGGUCCCAGGAUUGGGAUCGGGAGCAGGAUCAGACCGGGAUUGGGAACAGGAUUGGGCCAGGAUUGGGACUGGGAUCAGACCGGGAUCCUAGGAAUGGAUUGGGAUUGGGAACAGAGCGGGAAUGGGAAUGGACCAGGAUUGGGAUUGGGAUCGGGAUCAGGAACGGGAUUGGGAUUGGGAACAGGAUCAGACUGAGAUUGGGAGCAGGAUUGGGAUCACGAACAGACCAGGAUUGGGAUCAGACUGGGAUUGGGAUCAGGAAUGGACCAGGAUUGGGAUUGGGAUUGGGAUCAGGAACGGGAUUGGGAUUGGGAACAGGGCGGGAAUGGGAAUGGGAAUGGACCGGGAUUGGGAUUGGGAUCAGGAACAGACCAGGACUGGGAUCAGACCGGGAUUGGGAAUGGGAAUGGGAUCAGACCGGGAUCCUAGGAAUGGAUUGGGAUUGGGAACAGAGCGGGAAUGGGAAUGGGAAUGGACCAGGAAUGGAUUGGGAUUGGGAGCAGGAAUGGGAUUGGUAUUGGAAUUGGGAUCAGACCAGGAUUGGGAAUGGGAUUGGGAUUGGGAUUGGGAUCAGGAUUGGGAUUUGGAUUGGAUUGGGAUUGGGAGCAGGAAUGGGAACAGGAACAGGAUUGGGAUCAGACCGGGAUUGGGGAUGGGAAGGGGAAUGGGAAUGGACCAGGAAUGGGAUUGGGAUUGGGAUUGGGAUUGGGAUCGGGAUUGGGAUCGGCAAUGGGAUCACACCGGGAUUGGGAUCGGGAAAUUUGGGAAUGUGGGAUCGGCCCCGGGAUGGGAAAAGACCCCAAAUCCAUCGGGAUCGGGAUGGGAAAAAUCCCAAAGUCCCAAAAUCUCAAUUUUCCUCAAAAAACCCCGGUUUGAGUCCCCAAAAUCUCAUUUGAAAUCCCAAAUUCCCAUUUUUAAAUCCCAAAAUCCCUUUUUUUUUUUGGCCCCCACCCCAAUUCCCAUUUUUA
Molecule: long non-coding RNA, 1986 nt
Filed under: Zonotrichia albicollis (white-throated sparrow)
Lineage: Eukaryota; Metazoa; Chordata; Aves; Passeriformes; Passerellidae
Description: lncRNA (ENSZALG00000007287.1)
Source: RNAcentral